GAUGAAGAACGCAGCGAAAUGCGAUACUUGGUGUGAAUUGCAGAAUCCCGUGAACCAUCGAGUCUUUGAACGCAAGUUGCGCCCGAAGCCAUUAGGCCGAGGGCACGCCUGCCUGGGCGUCACACGUCGUUGCCCCCCCCAUCUACUCCUUCGGGAUUGCGGGGGGCGGAUGAUGGCCUCCCGUGCGCCUCGUCGCGCGGUUGGCAUAAAUGCCAAGUCCUCGGCGACGCACGCCACGACAAUCGGUGGUUGCGAAACCUCGGUUGCCCGUCGUGUGCGGUCGUCGCGCAUCGAGGGCUCGAAAAAAUUGCCGAGUUCCGGCUCGGCUUUCAACGCGACCCCAGGUCAGGCGGGGUUACCCGCUGAAUUUAAGCAUAUCAAUAAGCGGAGGA
This 392-nucleotide unclassified non-coding RNA is filed under the name soil metagenome. RNAcentral's name for it is "partial contains 5.8S ribosomal RNA, internal transcribed spacer 2, and large subunit ribosomal RNA". The stretch from base 1 to 122 matches the Rfam family "5.8S ribosomal RNA", at positions 35 to 154 of the family's 154-position model. The record is from RNAcentral.